This 368-nucleotide ribosomal RNA is filed under the name uncultured organism. RNAcentral describes it as "bacterial SSU rRNA". It matches the Rfam family "Bacterial small subunit ribosomal RNA", at positions 526 to 896 of the family's 1533-position model. The record is from RNAcentral.
CGGAGGGUGCAAGCGUUAUCCGGAUUCACUGGGUUUAAAGGGUGCGUAGGCGGGCAGGUAAGUCAGUGGUGAAAUCCUAGAGCUUAACUCUAGAACUGCCAUUGAUACUAUCUGUCUUGAAUAUUGUGGAGGUAAGCGGAAUAUGUCAUGUAGCGGUGAAAUGCUUAGAUAUGACAUAGAACACCUAUUGCAAAGGCAGCUUACUACGCAUAUAUUGACGCUGAGGCACGAAAGCAUGGGGAUCAAACAGGAUUAGAUACCCUGGUAGUCCACGCCCUAAACGAUGAUUACUCGACAUUAGCGAUACACAGUUAGUGUCUGAGCGAAAGCAUUAAGUAAUCCACCUGGGAAGUACGACCGCAAGGUUG